This 267-nucleotide long non-coding RNA is filed under the name Gossypium barbadense (sea-island cotton). RNAcentral's name for it is "long non-coding RNA (GBAR_LNC012651)". Lineage: Eukaryota; Viridiplantae; Streptophyta; Magnoliopsida; Malvales; Malvaceae. The record is from RNAcentral.
GGAUAAAUAUGAAAUUAGUGUGGAAUGCCAUAUGAAAGUGUGAUGGUUUGAGCAUGUGAUAUGUUGACAUUACAAAGUCAUGGAUUAAUCAUGUUUGUGAGUAUUUAAGUGACUAAAUAGGCUAUGUUGCAUGCCAUGAAGUGAGAUUAUGUAUGUGAGUGUUUAAGUGUGGAAAAUGGCUUGGAAAUUAGCCAGAAUUUGUCCACACGGGUAUGUGUCUAGGUCGUGCGUGACAUACGGUCUGCCCCAAUGGGCGUGUAGUCCUGC